This is a long non-coding RNA of Columba livia (rock pigeon), 14242 nucleotides long. RefSeq lists it as uncharacterized. The record is from RefSeq and is a predicted model, not a curated record. NCBI's taxonomy places the organism in Eukaryota, Metazoa, Chordata, Aves, Columbiformes, Columbidae. The transcript has 7 exons.
UCUAUUUUUCUGUUGUAUGCAGUGUUUGUGGGCUAUGGCAACCAAUCCCCUUGGGCUUUCUUUUGCUUUAAUUUGCAUAAACACCGGCACCAUAUGAAUAUUCAGUGAGUGGCUUUGCAUUAAGUUUGCCCUUAAUCAGCUUCUCAGUUCAGUUUUAUUGGUUGCACGCACAGUCAGUUAUUUCAUCCAGAAAAUGUGGUGCCCGACAAAGCUAAACAGGCACAGACUGAUGGUGACACUAGUUUAGAAGGUAGAAAAAGGACUCCUUCUUGAAGCAAACAUGACUGAGGUCUGAUCUGGUAAACUGGAGAGCUUGGAUGAGACCAGCUAUCCUCCAGGAGGUCUGCAGCAGGUUUGGUGAAGUGCCACUGCUUAGCAUUGAGUCUGCUGCCAGAAAGCCCCAGCCCCAUAUCCGAACAGGCAGCACAUUGAUGGGGAGGCACAACAGGAGAAGAAUGAAGCUGAAGGCAUGUGCUGGUUGGGUCCAUCAGCAAACAAACAGAGCUGCUGGAGUAUCCAUGACGAUGUCACCGGUGAAUUGCAGUUGACUGGAGGCAUACUUCACCGCAUGCUGGAACACUCAGAGCCUGAUUUCCAGAAAGAGCAUCUUGUUGGUGGAUACAAUUUUAUAAUGGUUGUGCACACCAGCUUUUCACUGCGGCUAAUGGACAGAUGUAGAAAUGAUGACACUGCUUACCUCAUGAAUUUGAACCUGUGACUUUCUCCUCCUCCAGAAAUAGAUGGCGCCAGUAAAAAAGAAUGAUCCAUAAAGGUCAGACAUUAAACAAUCUUCAGGUAUCUCAAGGCAUGAAGAGCAAAGCAGGGCAAUCCCUGCAGUUCUGCAAAAGCAGACAAAAUGAACAUGAAUCCAGGAGAAGACGGGGAUAAAGAAGGAACGGAACUCAGGCAAGUGAGGUGGAAGAGAGUUGCUUAUUUUUGUUGUGUGGCAGUGAUGGAAAACCCCAAAGUGGGUGAGAUAUGGCUCACUGUUUCCAUUUUAUGGUGACAGCAGCUACAUAUGGGUUGAUUGCUUUGACCCAGUGUCGGUGUGCAAGUGGGAGAAGAGGAACCAAAGGCAUCCAUGCAAACAUAGAACUGCCAGCUGUGGUCCUGUCAGAUGCUAUGAGCUUGGUUGCGUCAGGAAUAGAAAAAGGGCGUGCCAAGAGCAUUCAUUUGAAAAGUAAAAUUAAGAUCCUUCACCCUCAUAGACUUUUAAAGUGUCCCGUGCUAUUUUGUAUAAAGCUGUAGCAACCCAUGUUACUGGCAGUGCAGUCAAGCAUGGAGAUGCCACAUGCAAGCCUAGCACUGAGACUAUUGCAGACACGGGGAAUCCUCUCUCCUGUCUUGGAAAUCCAGCAAGGGUUCUACCAAGAUCCCUGUUGUAAUCUCUUUUUUUGUUGAUUUUUUGAGCUCUGAAGGCCAAAGUGACUGAAGAACAUCUGCCCCACCAGGGCAAGUUUACAUCAAUCAAAACACCUACAGAAAUCUGACCGGCACUACAAAUAAUUUAUAGUCUGAUGCAUGGUGUUGCAUGACAGAAAUAGGAGUGCCCUGGAUUCAACAGGCACCAGGGAAGACAGACGUAUUCUACACCAGCUGCCCACGAGCUAUGCAAUGCAGUUGUAAGAGGCUAAUGUAUUUCCAGAACAUCUAAGAAUGAUUUUAUUUUGUAGAAGGGGAUUUGUCAUUCCUCUGGUAGAUGCGCAGAGGUGAAAAACUGAGAAAUGGAUUCUUCUCAAUUCCCAUCCAGGUUUUCAGCUUGAUAGAAGAAGUGAAUUUCCUUAGAUGCACAAUUCACACCUAAUCCAUGCCUAGAAAUCACUUAGGACAUCAGUGGAGCUGUGAGUAUGGGUUUUGAUGACCUGUAGUUUAAUAUUUAAAUAAAUGUUUAAACAUUCAUGUCCUUCCUUCAGUUGAUGGACCCAUCUUGGGUCACACUGGUAGCAGCUAUAUAGCCUCUCUGACUGCUGCAUGAGCAAAAUAUUUUGCAUUUUGAUAGUACAUUUAAUUUUGAGAUCUCAAAGCCCUUGCAAGUGAACAAUAAUUAGUUAAGCCUCACAACACACUUCUGUGAGGGAUAUGGUGCUAUUAUGUCCAUUUGGUGGAUGUUAAAAACUAAUUAGGAUGAUGUUAACUCCUAAGGCCAAACAGAACGGGCACAGUUGCAGUAUGCUGUAGACACAGCCACACCAACAGAAACACUUAUUACAAGUAUUAUCAUCUCCAACCUUUUAUAAUCUCAAGCAUGACAUGAAAACAGAGCAACUGUUAGAAUUUCAGCCUGUGCCUGCUUGUCCUGUUGGUGUGGAUGGAAAGCUUUUGUGUAACAAACCAGCAGUCAGGUUGAUGGCACAGGCUCUGCUUUGUGCCGCUGACCUUCCUGAACAUCACAGCUUGCAGCAGGAGCAGCUGCUUUGCCAACAGCAUUUUCUUCUUGGGUAAUCUACUUUACCACAUUUCUAGCAUGCUUCAGAAACUUCCUAUAAAUGUUCUGGCCUGAGGCAAACAUCUAGAUGAUGUCAACUUUGUCCAACCAGGAGGAAGCCUUGGUAUUUCUGCAGCUUGCAGCUUGGACAUGUACCAAGGGGUCAAGCACCUUGUGAAGCUCAGUGUUCUCCAGCUGAACAUGCGUGACAGGAAACACCAAGGACCUCAGGAUCUUCCAUGGGGAAGGGCCAGAAGCAGUGAUGGCAAGUUUAUGGCAUGUACAAAAAAAUGCAGAAAACACCUAGCAGUCUAGUGUGUUAAAAACUAACUGAAUUGUCUGUUUCCUUGAAUAAAGUCAAGGAAGAAAACAUAGCUAAACUGGCCAGAGAGGUGAGGACGCAGCCCAGAAGAUGCCAAAAAUGCUGCUGAGAUCUCAAUGACUUCUGCUGGCGUUGCAAGGAAGGAAGUCUAAGGAUUAACAGAUGGUAGCAGAGAAACUAUUUGCUUCUUUCGUUAACACAAAAAAAACAAACCAAAACCAAAACAAAAACAAAAUUAUGGGUUUUGAGGCUUAAUGCAAUUAAUACCCUUUCAGUCUAAAUUAAUUGUGCAUUGCAGUAAUAAGAUCAGGAACUGCUACUUUCAGUCUGCUUUUUUCUCAGGCAAGAGACACAGAGACAACACAAGCCCAAGGCAAAAUCUUGUAUAUGACCUUUUACCUAUCGGUGUGUAUCACAGUGUAACAAGUUUGAAAGUGUCUAAUCAUUCACUCCUUUCCUUGUGCAUAUUUCAAUUAUUGCCAGAAUACCCUCCCUGGUAUGUCAGAUUCUUUGUUAGCUCCAGAAAAUGUGGCUUCUUGGUGAGAAAUCCUGAGAGGAUUAUGAAAUAAGGCUAUGAAGUCUCCCAGGCAAUUAAGCAUGUGUGGUCUCUUUACCCACCAAUUCUCUCCAGAUUUUCCUGACACUCUGAAUUUCCUUUUUUUAACAUCUUAAAAGCUACUAUGAAGCUUAUUAAAAAUACAAGGAAAGAUAACCUACAACAGAAUAUUCAGAAAAAAAGAAAAGAUCAUAUAGACUAAACCUUCAUUUAAACUGCUUUCACCAGGGUUGGCAUAUGGCAUUGUUGCCUUUCCACCACUUGCAUUAUUAGUGAUCCUUUCCUGUGGUGCAGACUCAGAAAGAGCAUUGUUUGACUCUUUUAAAAUUAAUCUGACUAAAGGAAAAAAAAAUCCAGAAGAUAUAUAACCGUCUUUUUCUUCUCUCCUUAAAUUAUUUAAUUUCUGAAAGAAAAACAAACAAACAAACAAACAAACAAACAAACAAACAAAAAAACAUGCAGCAAUGAGACAGGAUCUCAGCAAUCCAUUAAAUACUGUUAGUCUUUCAUCUUCCAAACCAGUCUUGAAUCAUAAUAUCUGAGAGGGCGAAGACAGAAACAACCAGGUCCUCUCACUCCCUGUCACAGGAUUAUUCCCCAGGCAGUAGCUUCUAGUACUUUUUUCAGUCUAACAUUGACUGUAUAACAUAAAAGGGCUUUCACCAGUUAGUUGAGAUAAUUACCAUAUCGCUACAAAAAUGUCUCUAGGAAUUUUUCUUGAUCUACAUCCUAAAUGAGGUUCAGUACUUCUGUUACAUCAUUUCUGAUUUUGUUUUCUCAGACAAUCCUCCCCAAUAGCCAUGAUUGUUUCUCAUCACAGCUGUUUAUUUGAUAAAAGGUCGAUAAAAAAAUCGACUGCUACCACAAUUCUUCCUUGUUUGCUUCAUUUAGAAAAUGAGUGGUAAUGCACUAAUUCUCCAAGUCCAGUAAUGAAAAAUUGGAGGAAAAUGUUGAAAUAGUAAAGGUGAACAUUACUGUACAAGCAAAACCUUAAAAAGUUGUCAUGUUCUAUUAACAGUUUGCUUGCUGGCAUCUGAGUGUGUUAGCCUUUAUUUUCACUAGUUUGAUAUGAAAAUUGCUUGAGAUGAUUGCAAGGUCAUUUCUUAUUAGGGCAAUGAAGUGCUAAAAUUUUAUUAUAUUAAUAUAACACGAUAUAAAAUGGCUAAUAUGAUAGACAGUUGUUAAUAUGUUAUGAUAGGUCAUGUAGAUAAGGUUUAUAUUGUUUUCAUAUACUUUGCUGAACUAUUUUUAUUCCUUUUUUGUAAUGAAAGGUGACAAGGGGACACAAAUGCAGAGAUUACUGAAUGCCCCUCUAUGCCCUUGAAUGCCAUUUCUUGUGAAUUUUAUGAAUGACAAUGGUAUUCCUUGGUCAAAAUCCCACCAGAUUCAGUGGGAGCAGUUCUGCAGUUGUUUAAUUCCAUUCAAUUUGUGACACGGAAGCAGUCCCUCAAUUAUCUGCACUAGGAAAAGAUGACUGUCAAAAAUAAAGGUACAACUUUUAUUUUUUCUUUCCAGUUUUUGAGCAACGGUCCAUCUAAUUCCUACCAGGGAAUAUGGAUAAGAGUUGCUAAGAAUUUCAGAUAAAUGGUCGCUGUCCAUGCCUGAGGCAAGUAAUGAAAGUUACAGUCUGUGUUUAUACUUCACAGUCAGAAGUUUCUUGGCAGCCUGCAGUUAAGUUCAUCCUCAUGAGCUUUGAGGUGACCAUCUGGGCCACUAAUCAGAAGGUUUAAGUCUUUCCUUUUUUUCUCUUAUCUGAAUCUUUUCGGAUAAUGUCAGUUUUGUAAUUUAAAGAAGAUUUUACUUGCUCUACACCUUUGAAGAACCAUGUCUCCAACAACCCAGCGCCCCAGCAGCUGUGACAUCCCACAGCUAUCAGUGACAUCUUCAGCUCCUUCCUGAAGGAAAAAGCUUCUGAUCCAGAUGAUGAAGUUAUCUCUCUAGGGCAAAUGUGAUCUGAGAAAGAGAAGGGGUAGCAUGAAGGGCAAUGGGCACAGACUGAAGCACAGGAGGUUCCAACUGAAUAUGAGGAGAAACUUCUUUACUUUGAGGUGCCCGAGCCCUGGAACAGGCUGCACAGAGAGGUUGUGGAGUCUCCUUCUCUGGAGACAUUCAAACCCACCUGGACACAUUCUUGUGUGAUCUGCUCUGGUGAACUGGACUGGAUGAUCUCCAGAGGUCCCUUCCAACCCCAACCAGCCUGUAAUUCUAUGAUUUCGAUACUCAGCACAGGUCAAAUCCUCACAGUGUUCCCAGGCUUUAAUCUUCAUCCUGCAAGAGGAAGCUUUCUUGAAGAAGAAACAUUCUUACAUGCAAAUUUUCAGUAAUGUUUUACAUUGCAUUCAGGCUUCUGGACACAAGAGGACAGGAGCUGAGUCCUUACAAACCAAGCAACAGUUUCAUGGUGUGGAUGGAGUGACACCUUCCCUCAUCACCUGAGUUUCUGAUGGCUCUAGAGACAACACAAGACCAUGGACUCAGGGUGACCAGGUUUACUCCAAAUCUUUGGAAACUCCUAAACAAGGAAAGAAGGAAUGUCCCAAAGUACUGAGUGUAAUAUUGUGCUAAGUUAAAAAAAUAUAACCUUUACUGUUGGGAGAUUUUUUGACUCCUUGGCAAGUCAUUAUUUUUAUCAUUUUUGAGGUCUGAACAUCAGGUUAUGCAAGGGGAAACCAUUUGCCAAAAAGAGUUCAACAAGUGCCAUAAUGUCCCUAAAGGUUAAUGUAACAAGCAUUUAUCUGCAAUUGUAUAUUAAAAAUUCUUUUUGUACUUGUUUUUUCCCCCAUUCAAAAACACUUUUGACAUGCAAAGCUACUUAAGAAACUGCUUCACUGAAUAACGUAAUUUGUAUAUUUGGUAAUGCAGUUUUAAAAGAUCACAUAAAGCAGAGCCCUUUCCUCUUAAUUCAUUCCAGUUUCUCUUCUUCAAGACCCUAUUUACCUCAAGUAUACUGGCAGAAGCAUGCAUGCAUACAAACACAAAACUUGAAAAAUUAAAGACAAAACAUCACAUUACAUAAUGCUUAAAAGAAUUGCAUUCUCAGUCUCCCUCCGUCUCUUUUUAUGCUUAUUUUAAAACCCUAGAAAACUAUUUUGAAAAUAUUAUAUUCAAAGUAGCAACACUAAGAUCUAACGUUUAUCUUAAAGUAACAUUUCAUACCCUCAAAAAAUCUUUUUAUUCCAAGAUUACGUUAUCUACAGUUUACAAAAUGAUUAUGAUGAUUGCUUGGAGGGCUUGACUUAGGAAAUCUAGCCUUGACACACAUUACUUUUGUGGAAAAAUGAAUUUAUCUCAAUUAGCUCUUAAUGUCAGCUGAAGAAGGGAACUAUUUAAAAUUAUUUGCCAGGGAAAGAGAUAAUAUUAGUUGAAACUGCAUACAUCAUAAAGACAUGAAGUGUCUAACCUGGCUUUUGGAUAGUGCAAGUAUUUUAACACGUCUUACUACCACCAGGAAUAUACUUCAGAUGGGCUUUUGAGAAAGCCUGUGAGUUCUUCUCACGCAUUCGGGUACUCUGACCUAAUAUUCUCAAAAUAUUUACAGAAAAAAAAGAUACGUUGUGCUGCUGAGUUUUGUGAGGCUUUUUGGAGAGCUUUACAGUAUCAAUACAACAAAUUAAGUGAAAUAACAGCUGUGCUAAUUACAGCCAGGUUUAAAAAAAUGAGACUUGUGUUUAGGUUUUCAAAGAUUCCAGUGGACUCAGCUAAUUACCGCAUGGUGCCAUGGUGAGAGCAGCCAGGUCAUGUUUUUAAGACCUUUGUUGCCCAGUUGUAAAGACAAUAAUGUGAGGAAAAUACUCAGUACAUGAAGUAAAGGCUGUGGGCAGCAGAUGCCAAGUCCAGCCCCUUCUCCUCCUAAGUGCCAGGCUGGUACCAGAAACAGGAGGGUGUAUUCACACAAUUAAACCCCAGGUGUCUGGAGAAUUUUUUUCUCUCUCUCUUUGGAUUAUUUUUCGAGCAAUUUUUAAAGUGGCUCCCUCUUGGAAUGAAGGAUUUUGCAACUAGUUCAAGUGAGAUGUUUUUAAUCUCAUUCGGCUCACUCCAUUCAAAUUAAGGAAGCUGAACACCUCUUUCCAAUGAGAGUGGGGCCCCUGAAGUGUUACUGCUGGCGAUGACAGGGUCGCCUCCUGUCUGGAGUCAUUCUGCCAAUUCCCAACCCCUGCAUCCUGAUCCUCAUCUUGCCUGCGGUGAGGUAAAGCUCGGUGAAAGAAGUGGAGCCAAGGGUACUAUUCCAAACAGAAGCUCUUUCAGAUCAGGACAAAAUUCCAGUGGUAUCACCGAAGUCAAGGAUGUGCAUGGGAAACAACUGAGAAUAACAUUUGGCCUAAAGAAAACAAAAACAUGAAUAAAACCAAACCAGACCAAACCAAACCAACCAAACAAACAAACAAAAAAAGCCACACAACAAACCAGAAAACAAAACCAAACACAAACAAACAACAACACUCAAACAAAAUUUCAAAAUCAGGGGGGCAACAACAUAACUUGACACAUUCUUCUUUAUCCUAUUGGUUUGAAGGUUGUUUUCUGAGUGCUCAAAAUUUACUGUGUAUUGCUUCCUAAAAGGAAGAUAAAAUUUGUCACCAGUGCAAUCUAUUACUUGAAAUUCCAUGCUCAGGAAAGACAGACAGACAUGCUCUACCUUCAUUUUGACUCAUCAGCUCUGGCAUACACAAAGCGCAAGCUUUAAAUCUAUACAAUCACAUGCUCCAUUAUCAGCCACACAGAUACUAGAGCAAGCUUGAAAUAAAACUACUUUGUUCCACCUGGGAGCUCAAUACUAUCCCUUAUAAAUCAGGAUUUGUUGCAUGGUUUCUUGCACACAUCCCACAGACUGGCCUUGCAAAAGGCGUUGACCAUCCAUACCACUCUCUUGUCUCUUUGUAUCUGAAGAGUUAUGUUGUUCCAGGGGGUGAAAGAGGGGGAAGAGAAGGAAAAAUUUAUGAGUUAUGAAUAUUGACAGAGGAGAUAUUCUUUGUUUAUUGAAGUCCUGUUUACAUAAAAGCUCUUUACAGGCUACCCCCUAAGUCUAGAGGUCCUAAACCAGUGUCAGUGAGCUGUCUGAGUGUUUUUUCCCACGUAUUGCGUCGCUAUUCCACCAACAAUAGGGACCCAUUAAUGUUUGGCCCUUCAAGUUAGUGCAGCCCAAGCCUCAGUGGCAGGACGUCUGCCCAAUAUGUAAAAUAAUGGAAUGAAUGGAUUCCUUGGAAACAAUGAUAACAAGACCUGGCUGAGCUAACUGUGACAGCAUGUGGUAAUUUUCCAGCCCACUGAGCCUGUACAGAGAGCAGGAGCACAAAGCUCAGACCAUGGGGCAGGUUGGUCUGAAUGGCUGCAAACAAGUGCAGAAUAUCUGAUGAUGUCAUACACACAGUCUGACAGAUGGGGCAGGGCUUUUGUUUGUUUUGUUUUGCUUUGUUUUAAACUUGAACUUAACUGUUUAUUUUUCCAACAUAUUUACACACUACGGGUGUAACACAGAAAGCCACAGCCGAUUUAAAAGUGUGUCUUAGAAAUGUUGCCAUGUGUUAGGUCUAAGAAACAACCUUAUUUCCUGGUGAAAAAUGGUAUUGCUUGUGCAGUGAAUGCUCUGGAAACGGCGGGAUAAUGUUGCUAUAGAAUGAUGCAUGAUCUCUGUAUUCACUGUCUUUUGAAUCUAGCUCCCCCCUGAAUCCCAAUACACACUUGAGUAACAUAAAGAAGUAUUGUUAUUGCCUCGGUCUAGUCAUUACAUCAGAGAAACAAACAACCAGAGAUAUCUAAACUGGCUACUAAUUUAGGUUUGUUGCCUGGGAAUAAAAGAGGUUAAAACAAGUUUGUUUGAGUAUUACAGAGUGGGUGUGCAUUUGCAAGACCGUGCAAUUCUAAAUAUGCUUUAGAUGCUGUAAAUGCACUUGGGUACAAACAUACGCCAACACAGUCGUGUGCCUCCAGGAGUAUGUUUGAAAGUUAACAUAAAUGUGGGCUGGGAAGACAUGAUGCAGCAUAAGUAGUUGUGAAUCACCAUUGAUACAGCUCCUUACAACUUUAUAGCUGAAUAAACAUUAAAGGACAAUUCCAAUUCCACGUUUGCAGUUGAAAUGGUAAUACAGAUAUAGAACACACUUCUGAAACUUUUUCCACCUCUAGGAGUGGAUUAGACUUUUUAUUUGCCACAAGCUAAAUCACAGGAUCACAGAAUCACAGAAUCACAGAAUCACAGAAUCGACUGGGUUAGAAAAGACCUCAGAAAUCAUCAAGUCCAACCCUUGGUCCAACUCUAGUCCGUUUACUAGAUCAUGGCACUAAGUGCCAUGUCCAAUCUCAGUUUAAAAACCUCCAGGGACGGCGAGUCCAGCACCUCCCUGGGCAGCCAUUCCAAUGUCUGACCACUCUCUCUGUAAAGAAUUUCUUUCUAAUAUCCAGCCUAAAUUUCCCCUGGCAGAGUUGAAGCCCAUGUCCCCUUGUCCUAUUGCUGACUGCCUGGGAGAAGAGACCAAUCCCCAGCUGGCUAUAACUUCCCUUCAGGUAGUUCUAGAGAGUGAUGAGGUCACCUCUAAGCCUCCUCUUCUCCAGACUAAACAACCCCAGCUCCCUCAGCCUCUCCCCAUAGGGCUUAUGUUCAAGUCCCUUCACCAGUCGUGUUGCUCUUCUCUGGACCCGCUCCAGCACUUCAAUGUCUUUCCUGAACUGAGGGGCCCAGAACUGAACACAAUACUCCAGGUGUGGCCUCACCAAUGCAGAGAACAGGGGAAGGAUCACUUCCCUUGUCCUGCUGACCACACUAGUUUUGAUACAGGACAGGAUACCGUUGGCCUUCUUGGCCACCUGGGCACACUGUUGGCUCAUGUUGAGCUUCCUGUCAAUUAGUACCCCCAGGUCCCUUUCUGUUUGACUGCUCUUCAGCCACUCUGCGCCCAAAAAAGAUGCUACAUGGAAAUUUUGAACAUAUUCUGAUUGGCUCAUUCUCUCUCACUUCUAGUGCUAUUUAUCUUUUGGGCUGAGAGCUCUCUGAGGCAGUGCCCGAAGAGCUGUGAAAUAAUGACUAUAGGAUGAAAGUAGAGCUAUAUAAGUAAAAAAAAAAAAGAAACACACAUUGCUUACAGUGAAAUUUUCUCUAAGCUUGAGACAGCCCAAGUUGAGAUAAACACAGGAUAUUUCAAAAUGACUGAGCAGAGCCUGAAUAAACAAACUAGAAGGCCAAAUUUUGAGGACUUCGCUUUCCUACUUACUUUAGCAGUUUUCAAGCAGAGAAACUGUUGAGAGGGAUAAUUUUUAUCACAGCUUGAGAUUUUCAUUAUCAAUGAUGUGUAUGAUGUCUUUGACUUUUCAGUAGUGAAGGAUUCCAUCCUUAUUAUAUUAAACACUAUACACAGAGUAGCAGGCAGUCUCUGACCCAAUGAGUUUUCAGUGUGAUAGGCAAAUUCAAUACAGCGACAGGAAUAAAGUCUCUCCAUACAUCUAUUAAAUCCCUCACAACCACAGUAUGAGAGGAAGUGCCAUGAUUUUUCAGAGCAGGGGAAACGUCUUUGACCAUCUCCUACAUAACUUGAAUUGCAAGUUGAUUUUAUUGUGAAUAAAUGACUUUCUGACUCCAUUUUAUUAUUCUAUUAGAAACAUAAGGAGCGUGUUUAUGACAUUGUGACAUUCAGUGGCCGAAGAAGAGACCAGAGUCAAAUGUGUGGGUUGUCUCUAACAUCCCCUCUUAGGCUGUAAAAAUAUUUCCAAAUCUCUGCAAGCUCUGCCUUUUUACUACUCCUUGCAUUACAGGAAGAAAGUUUUCAAGUUAUGAGAGGUUUACUGCCUGUUGUUUAAAAUCAAAACUUUUCCACCCAGGAGGGAUCUCUGAUGAUUAGAGAACCAGCAAAAUUCUGACCUACAGAAUUUUCUCUUCAGAUUUUAAAAAUUUCAUUAUGUGUACCUUGAAAGAGCUCAGCACACAUCAAAGGUUCAUCAGCCUCAGCUGUUUUGAUGCAGGUAUCAGGAUCAAAGAAUGCAUCCAUCCUCGCGACUCCCAGAAAGCCCUGAAACAGAACAGGACCAUGAUUCAGUGACAGGAAUUCAUCUUUUUCAGGUGAAAAAGCCCCUCAGCUAUUUGCAAUGGAAAAGAGCCAACAAAAUGGAACUAUGGGAAAAAAAACAAUUUAGACUUACAGGUUGGGUUACCGCUCUGGCAGUAUGACAGCAAAUUCAGCCUGCAGACCAUUCUGAUGAUGAGAAAAUAGUGCAUCUUUACUCACCGGAUGUGAAAUAUUUCAUCAUGAAAAUAUUUGGAGUGGGGCAGAAAAUGACUCAUCAAAUCACAGUAGAUAACUUUUUAAUUACAAAAAAAAAAAAAGUCUACAUUUCUGAACAAGUAAAUGCAUCAAGUGUUUCAUUUGUCAUUGUAUUAAUGUAUUGUCUGCAUCGUUAUUAUGGAUUAUGCUAUACUAAGUAAUUUUUAAAGUUAAUUAACUAAAAUAUAAUUAGUUAUAAUCAAAUACUUUAAAUUGUAUCUAUCUCAUUAUGACAAAGAAAAAAUAGUUGUUGCCUUUAAAAAAAGAAGCAUGAAGAAUAAAGGUAAAUUUCAACAGUUUUAGCGUGCUAUAGAUGCAUCUCUGCUUUAAAGGAGACACAGUGAACUUCACUUAGAUAUAAGAAGCCUUAGUCCUGGCUUGUCUAAAUUCAUUUAAUAUAAUGAGUCAACAAAUUUUCUCCAGAAGACAAAUACAAGUUCCUGCAAAUUCUCUGUUUCUUCUGCAUGUAUAUGUGCAUGCCACUAUAUAGUAAGUCUGCGGCAUUGUCCCGGUUUUAUAAACACACCUAUAUUCCUUCUGGACAGUAUUCCUUCUGGGCACUGUAUUAACAUUUUCCUGAGCGUUAUUCUGGAGUUUACAUGAUAUUACAUACUUAUACUGCAAAAUGCAGGUGUGGACUAAGGAAACAAUUCUGCCCUCCUGUAACCACAAUGCUGUGAUUCUGAUCCUGCCGGUCAAGGUGCUUAGACCUAGGUUUGGAUCCAACCCAAUGCAUGUGGAAUUUGGUUAUAAAGAAAAAUUUGAACUUGACAUCUCUUUUUGGAAGGGCAUACGGGGUAUUAAUUACUAGAAGACUCAUGCUUACAUAGCAGUACAGCUAUGUUUUUAAUGUAGUGUCAUCAAAAUCCAAGCUGAAAUUAUUACCUAAUUUUCAGUCUGUAAAGGAGAAGAAAAAGGAUAUAUGGCCUUGUUUAUGCACAAAAUUAGUUUUAAAUCAAUUAAACUGGUGAAAUACCCUAUGUGAACACAUUUAAAUUGGUUUACGUCUGGCUUGUAUUAAUAUAACUUCAUUCAGUUUUCACCAAAUCAAUGCAAAUGUGUAAUUAGCUUAAUGGCUCUUGCUCUUCCAGAACAAUACUCUUUCAUUCUCGACAACAGGGAGCUGUUUUCAUUUCCUGCAGAUUCCAAGGGAAGCAUCAAGCUUUUAUACAGUCGCUUUUACUAUUUCUCUAUUCUUUCCUCUAUGUAAGGGCUGGCUUUGUGUGUUGAGUAGCUGAAAGUGACAGGCCAUGAGGGCAGGUGCAAGGUAACCCAGAAAAAUAAGCUUUUCUGAGUUUUUAUGGGCUUGAAUAAAAGAAUUCUCAGAGACAAAUAGUGAGCAGGGUACUCACACCGGCUUCUGGGUGUUAAUUUCUCCAUCUAAUCUCCAACACUUGUCACUUGUCAAACAAUCCCGUGUUGCCCUUUCCCAGGCAUUCAUUCCCUUCAUUAACUGAUGUUGGGCUUUGCUAUUUUUUUCCUGCCAAUUAAAGCAAGCGUUUCUUGCCUCAGAAUAAAGUCACGACUCAUGGUUUUGUCUCAGCUGAGAAUAACCACUUGUCCUUUGAGAUCCUUCCAGCAGAGCUGUGAGAUAUUUGCUUUACUGUCUCGUAUUCAUUCCUCUGAACUACUGGUGUUUAGGAACAUGUUUAUGUGGGGACAAAUAACGAAAAGUGCUGUAGUCUUGAUGGAAAUUUCCAAGUUCCAUCAGUGCCCGCUGAAGAAAACAGCUGUGACCACAGCCACAGCGUCGACAGGUGCUCUGCACUUCAUGGGAUCCUAGAUUUAGACUUUUCCGGAGGUUUUUCUAAGAAAAAAAUGAUCUUUCACAUAAAAGUAAUAGAUUAGACACAAUAAUUCUCUGCUCUGAACUUCCCUGCACACUGGUCCUUAGAGAAAUACAAGAACAAUGUGGGAAAUCUGUUUCAGAACAUUUUUUAAUGUAAUGGAUUGAGGAGGGGCCAAAGCGAGCGAGUUCAUCCCCGGGCUUUGGGAAUAUCACAAACUUACAAAACCAACAAAGCAGUUUUCAGCUUUACCAAAUGCAGUCAUUAUGUGAAAUCGUUUCCAUAAAUCAUCUUACGUUUUUUUUCAAUGGAGAUUCAAUAUAAACCGACUUUUCCAACAAGGCUUAUCUGUGGUAUGAAACAUCGAAGAAAACCAUGAAAGCUGCUUUUGUUAAUUCACUCUGGAAAUAUAAAUAACUGGGCUAGUAGUCAGUUGCUUCUGACAUGGGAGAACUGCUGGAGAAAUUAAGAUGCCAAAGCAUAAUCUGAAAUAUUCAGUAAAUUAUAUACUGUGAGCGCUGAUGGAAACCACUCAUCCAUUGUUUGAAACGACUGGCAAAUGAGUUGGUAUUUUGUGGCCAACAUUGGCCUUGCCCAUCUUGGCUAUAAGUUUCUACAAAUUAAUGUAUUUUUUCUGAACUACCUAUAUUCUUGUAUCCAGGAAAGUUCAAAAACAAAAUCCUAUUUUCACUGUGGAAAAGACCACUAAAUUUCAAUUUGAAAUAAAUAUUGCUUGAGGAAAACAUUAAGUGAUGUGUGAUAGCAUUUUUCUUAAGUGAUUUGAUUAUCUAACCUUCUUUAAAAAUGUUUUUUCCUCAUAGUGUUCCUCUAAUACCCUUUUUCUUGGUGACCUACUAGAUAACAUGCCAUAGCAUACUUAAAAAAAGAGAGGAAUAAACAAAG